CAGUAGCCGCGGGAAUACGGAGGGUGCAAGCGUUAAUCGGAAUUACUGGGCGUAAAGCGCACGCAGGCGGUCUGUCAAGUCAGAUGUGAAAUCCCCGGGCUUAACCUGGGAACUGCAUUUGAAACUGGCAGGCUAGAGUCUUGUAGAGGGGGGUAGAAUUCCAGGUGUAGCAGUGAAAUGCGUAGAGAUGUGGAGGAAUACCGAUGGCGAAGGCAGCCCCCUGGGCCAAUACUGACGCUCAUGCACGAAAGCGUGGGGAGCAAACAGGAUUAGAUACCCGCGUAGUCCCUGUCUCUUAUAC
This 301-nucleotide ribosomal RNA is filed under the name uncultured bacterium. RNAcentral's name for it is "partial 16S ribosomal RNA". It matches the Rfam family "Bacterial small subunit ribosomal RNA", at positions 509 to 807 of the family's 1533-position model. The record is from RNAcentral.